Eutrema salsugineum is the source of this 807-nucleotide long non-coding RNA. RefSeq lists it as uncharacterized. The record is from RefSeq and is a predicted model, not a curated record. NCBI's taxonomy places the organism in Eukaryota, Viridiplantae, Streptophyta, Magnoliopsida, Brassicales, Brassicaceae. The transcript is spliced from 3 exons.
CUUUGCAGAUUAUUUGUAAAAUCUCUCGUAAGGAAGAAGUGGUGUAUAUUAAGGACAAAGAGAUCAAUAAGCAGAAGUUGAUGAGAAUAAUUGAUCAGUACAAGAGAAGCUGCAAAAACAGAAGAUGACCUCAACAAGCAGCGAGAAUGACAAUACAUUCAGGUGGUUUUUGGAAGAUGAUGACACAUACAUUAAUAUAAAAGAUGAAAAGAAUAUAUAUGCAUGUUGCUGUUGAAGAGCUUUAUGGAGUCAUGGAUGUUAAUUAUGAUAGGCAAAUACGUAGGAUAGAUCGUGGUGUCAGAUGGUGUCGUGUGCAAUGGUUUAUGGUGGAAUCUGAGAGAGAAUGUUAUGAUAUUUUAGGGAUUAAUCAAGGUACAUUCAAGAGUUUAUGCCAAAAGCUAUCAGAGCAAUACAAGUUAAAGGAAUCAUCUCAUGUUUAUCUUGAAGAAAGUGUGGCAAUGUUUGUUGAGAUGGUUGGACAAGAUAUUACUAUCAGACUCUAGCAGAGAGAUAUCAACAUUCUCUUGAUACUGUGAAAAGAAAGUUGGAUGAGGUUUUGAGUGUACUCUUGAAGCUUGCAGCAGAUACAUUGAAACCUUCAAGAGGUGAAUUCACUAGAGCUAGUCCUGCGUUGGUCAAGAAUCACCUGUAUAUGCCAUACUUUAAGGAUUGCAUUGGUGCACUUGACGGUACUCAUAUACCGGUUCAUCCUCUUUCUCAGAAUGCAGGACUUUUCAUAGGUUGAAAAUCAGAAGCGACAAUGUGCUUGCUAUAUGUAAUUUUGAGAUGAAAUUCAUAUAUGCAUAU